Molecule: ribosomal RNA, 486 nt
Filed under: uncultured bacterium
Lineage: Bacteria
Description: partial 16S ribosomal RNA
Rfam family: Bacterial small subunit ribosomal RNA
Source: RNAcentral
AUUGAACGCUGGCGGCAUGCCUUACACAUGCAAGUCGAACGGCAGCACGGGUGCUUGCACCUGGUGGCGAGUGGCGAACGGGUGAGUAAUACAUCGGAACAUGUCCUGUAGUGGGGGAUAGCCCGGCGAAAGCCGGAUUAAUACCGCAUACGAUCUACGGAUGAAAGCGGGGGACCUUCGGGCCUCGCGCGAUAGGGUUGGCCGAUGGCUGAUUAGCUAGUUGGUGGGGUAAAGGCCUACCAAGGCGACGAUCAGUAGCUGGUCUGAGAGGAGGACAAGCCACAUGGGGACGGAGACACGGCCCAGACUCCUACGGGAGGCAGCAGUGGGGAAUUUUGGACAAUGGGCGAAAGCCUGAUCCAGCAAUGCCGCGUGUGUGAAGAAGGCCUUCGGGUUGUAAAGCACUUUUGUCCGGAAAGAAAUCCUUGGCCCUAAUACGGUCGGGGGAUGACGGUACCGGAAGAAUAAGCACCGGCUAACUACGUG